GACGAACGUUGGCGGCGUGCUUAAUACAUGCAAGUCAACUGAAGCAGUGGUAGCAAUAUCGCUGUGGAGGUGGCGCACGGGUGAGUAACACGUAGGUAAUCUGCCUUCAGGUCUGGCAUAACUCCGGGAAACCGGGGCUAAUAGCAGAUGAUGCAGCGGCUCGACAUCGAGACAGUUGUUAAAGCUAUGGCGCCUGAAGAUGAGCCUGCGUCUGAUUAGCUAGUUGGCGGGGUAACGGCCCACCAAGGCAACGAUCAGUAGCUGGUCUGAGAGGAUGAUCAGCCACACUGGGACUGAGACACGGUCCAGACUCCUACGGGAGGCAGCAGUAAGGAAUAUUGCUCAAUGGGAGAAAUCCUGAAGCAGCAACGCCGCGUGAGGGACGAAGGGCUUUUGCUUGUAAACCUCUGUAGUGAGAGAAAAAAAUCCCAAUCUUUGGGACAUGAUGGUAUCUCAAAAGUAAGCCCCGGCUAACUACGUG
Molecule: ribosomal RNA, 481 nt
Filed under: uncultured bacterium
Lineage: Bacteria
Description: partial 16S ribosomal RNA
Rfam family: Bacterial small subunit ribosomal RNA
Source: RNAcentral